UAGAUUCAUGUAUAAGUGAAGUCAUACAGUAUUUGUCAUUGUCUGACUUACUUCACUUAGCAUAAUACUUUCCAGGUCCAUCCAUGUUGUCGCAAAUGGCAAGAUUUCAUUAUUUUUUAUGGCUGAGUAAAAGUCUAUCUACGUACCACAUCUUUAUUCAUCUAUUGAUGGACAUGUUGCUUCCAUAUCUUGGCUAUUAUAAAUAAUGCUGUGAUAAAUGUAGGUGUGCAUAUUUCUUUUUGAGUCAGUGAUUUUGUUUUCUUUAGGGAGAAAAACCCUUCUUGUAAUGGGAAUGCUAAACGAAGCAGGUGGAAGAACUAGCUAGGAAGUGUGCUUUGUAUAAAAGCCACAGUUAAAACAAUAUGUGACUGGUCAAAGUCUAGGUCUCAGAGGUCAGGCCAAGCUGGAGGACAAACAGAACCAGGUCCGAAGUCCAGGGAAUGGGGUAGCAAGAUCCAAAUUUGUCAUGAAGAACAGACACGCUCAGAUGGAACCAAUCUAAGGUCCGAACUAAGUGAGAGGGCACAGGGAGGAGACAAACGAGGCAGGAGGUCCUGUCCCAAGUGACAUCUGCAUGUCCCCGCUCAGGCUGGAGUUUAGGAGCCUGGGUGGGAGGAGGCAGGGAGCAGUCCUCAGAUGUACCUACCGUAUGGCCAGUUUUUGUGACGGCCGGAAAGCACCCACACAGUUCCCAAUGCCUCUGGGUGGGAGAAAACAACUCCCACUGAGAACCACUAAAACCUUCAUCUUCACUGGAAGGAAGGCAGGCCUAACGGGGUCAUCUGAGUCGCCAGAAUCACAGAAUGAAUUCAAGAGUCAGAAGAGAAAUGAGUCCACCACCUCCAGCAGCCUUGCUGGUUGGGAUGUCUGCGCCUCCCCGGGCCGGCUGAUUCCUGGAGAGCGAAGGACUCCACCUGCGAGCACGCUGAUUGAUGCCACCUUUGUGCCCCCAGCCACUUCCUUUCUGGAACUCACCAAACCAGGGUUUCCCCUGCCCUGAAUCAGGCAGCAGACACCUGGAGACCACCCCUACAGCCCACAGCCCUGCAGAAUUACUCCAGCUAUUCAAUCCUAAGCAUGUUCAAACCUGUCAGCCCUGCCUCACACAUCCCUUCCCUCAGAAACCACAGUAAGGGCUCUGAGCCAUACUUUCUCUGGCUCCUUCUGCCUCCCGUGCCCGACCUUGGUGCUUUCCGAGUGGCCCUGCAGGGUGUGGCUUGCCUCCUACUCUUGGGAAAUGUUAAGUGAUAAAUUUGCUUUAUCUCAAAGGCAGUUGUCUCUGUGUCUGUCACCUCACCACUCCUGAAUAAAACAAAUCCGGGUACAUUUUAGAACACCUUCCUUUUCUCCUUAUCCAUAAACAUUGUGAAGCUGCCUGGGGCCCUGAUUAGCUGCCCAACCUCAGCGUGCUUUCCCAGUUUAUAGUCACAUCUGUGUUGGGGCCGGUGUGUGUGUGUGUGCAGUUUUAGGAUCGCCCAAGCCCUGAGGCACUUGCUGUCUGUACACUGUGUGGACAAAAUACUUUUCUGUAAUACAGAAUACCCUUUGGGUAUUGCAACCUUUUUCCCCCUUCUUCUUCUUUAAUUGUCUCUUCAUGGUUUUUCCUUGUUUAAAAGAAGAAGAUAAUAAUCCGAGAUUUUGCUUCAUCAUCUUUGAAUAGCUGCAUGGAACAACAGGCCCCUGGAUUUUAUCUAACAAAAAUAUGUCUAAGGCUAGAGAGUGAAGGACUCCACCUACGAGCACGCUGAGGCAUGCCAUGUCUGUGCCCCCAGCCACUUCCUUCCUGGAACUCACCAAUGUGAAUCUUUCCCUAAGGCCCAGUGACUGGACAUGUAAAAGAUGUGUCAACCAAAGGCUGUGUUUGCUCUCUAAAACUCUGGCAGCUUAAAAAUAACUCCCUUUGAGAAAUAGAAAAGUGCCUGUUCACAAUGAGACUAGGAAACACAGGGGCUUCUAAGUAAAUGAGUGAUUCGCAAGCAAAGGAUAAAUGAAAUGAAAAUAGAACCCAGGGGAUUAAGUAUGUAUUAGAAAACAUUUUUCCUGCAAAAUAAGCUGGGUAGAUUUUUUUUUAAAUCACUAAUUUGAUAAAAUGCUGAAUUUAGAAAAUUCAGUCAAACACAAAUGAUCCCUGAGUAACAGCCUUAUACACAUCAGGCUCAGAACAAAAUUACCAAGUUCUUAGUAAUGUAAUGUAUGAUGAUGACACAGUAAGACAUAUCACACUGAGAAAUAAUUGUACUACUGGGCCUUGGUUCUUGGCUUGGCUUCAUUUGGUGUCAAUGAGCGUUCACUUAACUUUCUAGGCCCUACUUCAUCCACGAAAUGAAAGGAUUGUACUGGCUGAAUUCUUCCAGUUCUAAAACUCCAAUAUGUUAAUAAUUUACUGGGGAUUCCUUCUAUGACUAUUCCAAGCCCAUCUUUACUGAGGUCUUUAUAGAGAACUCCCUCACCACUAUAGAGACCUUUUCUCUUAAUUUGUUAGUGGUAUCUAACACUUUUGCUAUAUGUCAAAACACAGACCCAAGCAGACACAUGCCCUCACAUGUUAUAAUAAAGAAAUGAAGAAAAAGACUGAUGGUUAAAAUGGAAAACUCAUUGACAACAAUUUCUCUAAGCAAGGAAGGUAGGUGGUGUUGAGCAGUUCUGAAGCAAAGAAGCCUCUGCUUUGGUAGGCUCAGAAUUGUUAUCCAAGGUGGGAGUGACAGUUGACAUGGGUAAGUUCAGCCCUUGUUCUGGUUGAAUCUAAACCCCUUCUUUUGCCUGUGGAAUACUCUUUGGGAAUAUAGACUUUAGAGUUAAGCCACUGGGUUCAGAUCCUACCCUUGUCACACUCAACCUGUGUGACUGCAGAUAGUCUUCUAUUUUUUGAAGGUUCAGUUUCAUCAACUCUAAAACAGAACUAAUAAUAAUGCCUGCCUCAGAGAGUUACUGUGAGAAUUCAAUGAGGCAUGCAUGCAGAGCACUUCCCAGGGCCUUGAGCUUCCUGAUCAAGUAAGUGCUCAGGAAGUAGGACUUACUCUUAUUAUCACUUUCUUGGAUCUCAGUUCUGUGUCCUUAUGCUUUUCUAGGAUUAGGAAAACUAAAGAAAAAAUAAGAUGUGACUUAUAAAUAAUAUAACAGAAAUUGGGGAAAAUAGAGUGUUCAGUAUAAGAGAUGACUGAUUUUGCAAAUGUAGAAAGUAGAUCACAAUCAAGUUUAUAGAGGCAGAGAAACUAACUUAAGAAAUCACAGGUGUGGAUAAAAUGAAAGUUCCUGUGGGCAGGAUUCUCAUCUGGCCUUGGUUGGCUAGCUCACUACACUUGUGUGGGCAAUAUGUGGUUAUUGACUCUAUUAAAAAGAGCCCUGCCCAAUGCUCUGUGUGACACGGUGGCAUGGCUGCAAGGCUGCAGGAGAGCAGGGCAGAGGCUGAAGUGCUGGCAGCACCGAGGACAGAGACUGUGCAGGCCCAGAGGCCCAGUGGAUGGUUGUGCGAGCGGAAAGGCCCAAAGGCAGAGACUGGCCUGCUGCAUGCAGACAUGCUCUGAGUGAACGGGAUUCUAGUGGUUGACCUGCCACUAUGAGAAUAAAGUUGGGUAUAACCCUUUCAUCCCAAGAACGUUUUACUGUCAUUUCUUUUGUCACAUUGAAUCCAUAGUGAACUUGCCCAAGGCUGAAACCCACUGGCAAGACAACAGGUUAUACAAAUAAACAGUACCGGGUUGGGAAGGAACACCCUCCUCCUGGUCCUGUAUAACAGUAAUCAUGUGUUUCUAUUUUACCUCAGCUUGUUAAGUACUGCUUCUUUGUCUCCAGCAUUUCUAACAUUUCAUUCAACAUCUCUUUCAUUCCUGUUGAUACUGGAGAGAUCAUUUCAACUGCAAGGUCUCCUUAGCUUUAGCAAUGUGCGCUGUGCUGUCCAGCUCCCCUCGUUAGGACAGAGGCACUCAUUCCUCCCAUUGCUAAGAAUGCUGGUGGCUGAGGCCUGUCACCUGAGUGCUUGCCAGGAAUUGCACUCAGCUGAAGGCACCUCAUCAAGACCAUCCCCUCCCUGGGGUCUGCUUUCAUGGCACAGCUGGAGACUGCUUCACUAUCGGGCAUUCCAUCUCCGGAGCUCUUGGUGGGGCCGCACUGCAGUUCAGUCCCUCACUUCUGCCUCGUCCUCCUGCCCUUGCUCCCCCACAGAUGUUGAUCAUGUGAAUAUUUACCAAUAAACCUCCUGAUUCAAAUCCCCUUCCACAGUGUGUUUCUUGGAGAAUCACAUAAUGACGGUUGGUGCCAGUUCAUAAUUUAUCAAUGUAUCUCUUCCCCAAAUCUUUGUCUUUAGUCUUUGAUCUUUCUCCAUCCCAAACUCUGACCACUGAGCCCAAACUCUGACACAUGGUUAGUCUUCCCCCUCAUGCCAAUCAGGAUUAGGUUCAGCUGCAUAUAACAGAGAAAGCAGACUCCACAAUGAGAUUUUAGGGCAGGAUCACCUGCCAUCUGGCUGACAUUGAGGACAGUGUCAUUGGUGGCAGGUGGGACAAUGAUUACCCUUUUGCUUACUUUAGUGGUGCAUUCAGUAAACCUUUCACUUCUGAUGUACUGGGAGGGGAUACUGGUGGGUUGUGGGAAUGAAUGAGAGGUAGGGACCCCACCACAGGUGUCUGAGAAGUUUAUUGGAACUAAUAAUUCUAAUGUGGAAUUGGACGUCUAUUCGUGAGUGUGAUUAGUGAACUAGAGUAAGACAGUGGAAAACUGUUUGGUAUGAAACACUAAUUAAAGGCUAAAUGUGAAAGACAGAGAGCCUCUUUGGCAGCACAUAAAGAGACUACUCCUGCAGCUGAAGGGCAGAAAGAGCAAAGGGUCAGACCUACUGAAUAAUUGUAAGGAUGCUAGUGCCCAGAAGUGGUUGAACACCUAGCCUUGGAAAGUCUGUAAGGCUCUGGGCAAGGCCACGAUGGGGACACAGCGGACCCUAUGAUGUGGGAUGGGGAAGUCUGGGUCACUGCACUGGAAAGCCUUGAAUCCCCAGCCUCCUCUAAACCUCCUGAGCCCGCAGAAAGGCAUAUCACCCUGUUAAGGGACCAUGCUCUUCCUUUGCUUGAAAAUGACAUAGAAGCCUCUUCCAUGCAACACAAAUGAAGUUCUCUCAGGAUCUAUAUCUGUCUUACUAUUAGCCUGGCUACCAUGCUAAUAAUGAGGGUUUAAUCACAAUAGAACUCAACCAUGGAAGUGCAGGGACUGCUAAGGAAGGACAGGGAAUCUACAUGGAAAGAAUUGCAGGAACUCACCAACAUGCAUAGCAACAGCUGGGAGGAUAUAUAUGGAACUAGAUUCUGAGGGUGCCAAAUGAAGGGAAGUUAGAAUAUAACAAAGGAGAGUUUAUCACGGGAGCGUUCUUCCAUUAUACAUGAUUUAACGCCUUUGGCAAUGACCCUGGGAAAUGAUGGCUCUUGGAACUUUGAAGAAAGGGAAGGCCCACACUGAGUGAAGUAGAAAUUCCAUAACUGCUAUGGUAGACAAUGGAAAAAUAGAUCAGAAGGCUCAGAGAAGAGGGCAUUAUAUAUAGGGAAUAUAAUCCAAGGCCAGAAAGCUCGCCAACUGAUGAUGUUCUAGGGAAG
Manis pentadactyla (Chinese pangolin) is the source of this 5579-nucleotide long non-coding RNA. RefSeq lists it as uncharacterized. Lineage: Eukaryota; Metazoa; Chordata; Mammalia; Pholidota; Manidae. The transcript is spliced from 3 exons. The record is from RefSeq and is a predicted model, not a curated record.